UACGGAGGGUGCAAACGUUGCUCGGAAUCAUUGGGCGUAAAGCGCACGCAGGCGGUCCAGCAAGUCGGGAGUGAAAUCCCUCGGCUUAACCGAGGAAGUGCUUUCGAAACUACUGGACUUGAAUACUGGAGAGGGUUGCGGAAUUCCCGGUGUAGAGGUGAAAUUCGUAGAUAUUCGCAAGAACACCAGUGGCGAAGGCGGCUCACUGGCCCGAUACUGACGCUGAGGCACGAAAGCGUGGGGAGCAAACAGG
This 253-nucleotide ribosomal RNA is filed under the name uncultured bacterium. RNAcentral's name for it is "partial 16S ribosomal RNA". It matches the Rfam family "Bacterial small subunit ribosomal RNA", at positions 524 to 776 of the family's 1533-position model. The record is from RNAcentral.